This 467-nucleotide ribosomal RNA is filed under the name uncultured bacterium. RNAcentral describes it as "bacterial SSU rRNA". It matches the Rfam family "Bacterial small subunit ribosomal RNA", at positions 355 to 825 of the family's 1533-position model. The record is from RNAcentral.
UGGGGAAUAUUGGACAAUGGGCGAAAGCCUGACCCAGCCAUGCCGCGUGCAGGAUGAAGGCGUUAUGCGUUGUAAACUGCUUUUUAUAUAGGAAGAAAUAGUCCUUGCGAGGAAAGUUGACGGUACUAUAUGAAUAAGCACCGGCUAACUCCGUGCCAGCAGCCGCGGUAAUACGUAGGGACCAAGCGUUGUUCGGAUUUACUGGGCGUAAAGGGCGCGUAGGCGGCAAUUCAAGUCAUCUGUGAAAUCUCCGGGCUUAACUCGGAACGGUCAGAUGAUACUGCUUUGCUAGAGUGCAGAAGGGGCAAUCGGAAUUCUUGGUGUAGCGGUGAAAUGCGUAGAUAUCAAGAGGAACACCUGAGGUGAAGACGGGUUGCUGGGCCGACACUGACGCUGAGGCGCGAAAGCCAGGGGAGCAAACGGGAUUAGAUACCCACGUAGUCCCUGAGCGGGCUGGCAAGGCGCAU